UGGGGAAUUUUGCGCAAUGGGCGAAAGCCUGACGCAGCAACGCCGCGUGCGGGACGAAGGCCUUCGGGUUGUAAACCGCUUUCGACAGGAACGAAAUUGACGGUACCUGUAGAAGAAGCCCCGGCCAACUACGUGCCAGCAGCCGCGGUAAUACGUAGGGGGCAAGCGUUGUCCGGAUUUAUUGGGCGUAAAGAGCUCGUAGGCCGUUCGGUAAGUCAGAUGUGAAAACUCCAGGCUCAACUUGGAGACGCCAUCUGAUACUGCCGUGACUUGAGUCCGGUAGGGGAGCACGGAAUUCCUGGUGUAGCGGUGAAAUGCGCAGAUAUCAGGAGGAGCACCAGCGGCGAAGGCGGUGCUCUGGGCCGGUACUGACGCUGAGGAGCGAAAGCGUGGGGAGCAAACAGGAUUAGAUACCCAAGUAGUCCCUGAGCGGGCUGGCAAGGCGCAU
This 448-nucleotide ribosomal RNA is filed under the name uncultured bacterium. RNAcentral's name for it is "bacterial SSU rRNA". It matches the Rfam family "Bacterial small subunit ribosomal RNA", at positions 355 to 825 of the family's 1533-position model. The record is from RNAcentral.